Molecule: ribosomal RNA, 253 nt
Filed under: uncultured bacterium
Lineage: Bacteria
Description: partial 16S ribosomal RNA
Rfam family: Bacterial small subunit ribosomal RNA
Source: RNAcentral
UACGUAGGGUGCGAGCGUUAAUCGGAAUUACUGGGCGUAAGGCGUGCGCAGGCGGUGAUGUAAGACCGAUGUGAAAUCCCCGGGCUUAACCUGGGAACUGCAUUGGUGACUGCAUCGCUCGAGUAUGGCAGAGGGGGGUAGAAUUCCACGUGUAGCAGUGAAAUGCGUAGAGAUGUGGAGGAAUACCGAUGGCGAAGGCAGCCCCCUGGGUCAAUACUGACGCUCAUGCACGAAAGCGUGGGGAGCAAACAGG